This 472-nucleotide ribosomal RNA is filed under the name uncultured bacterium. RNAcentral describes it as "partial 16S ribosomal RNA". It matches the Rfam family "Bacterial small subunit ribosomal RNA", at positions 28 to 507 of the family's 1533-position model. The record is from RNAcentral.
GACGAACGCUGGCGGCGUGCUUAACACAUGCAAGUCGAGCGGAAAGGCCCUUCGGGGUACUCGAGCGGCGAACGGGUGAGUAACACGUGAGUAAUCUGCCCUUGGCUUUGGGAUAACUACCGGAAACGGUGGCUAAUACCGGAUACGACAACCGUCUGCAUGGGCUGGUUGUGGAAAGUUUUUUCGGCCAGGGAUGUGCUCGCGGCCUAUCAACUUGUUGGUGGGGUAAUGGCCUACCAAGGCUUCGACGGGUAGCCGGCCUGAGAGGGUGACCGGCCACACUGGGACUGAGACACGGCCCAGACUCCUACGGGAGGCAGCAGUGGGGAAUAUUGGACAAUGGGCGGAAGCCUGAUCCAGCAACGCCGCGUGAGGGAUGACGGCCUUCGGGUUGUAAACCUCUUUCAGUACCGACGAAGCGCCGAUGAUGGUGGUGACGGUAGGUACAGAAGAAGCACCGGCCAACUACGUG